Long non-coding RNA from Melanotaenia boesemani (Boeseman's rainbowfish), 113 nucleotides. RefSeq lists it as uncharacterized. Lineage: Eukaryota; Metazoa; Chordata; Actinopteri; Atheriniformes; Melanotaeniidae. The transcript has 3 exons. The record is from RefSeq and is a predicted model, not a curated record.
AUGACAUGCAGAUGACAUUUGAUUCAAGCGUGUUGGAGAAGGGUUGUAUCUAAAAGUUGCAGGAUGGUAGGUCUCGAGGACCGAAUUUGGGCACUCCUGACUUAAAUAAACAU